Molecule: long non-coding RNA, 385 nt
Filed under: Xyrichtys novacula (pearly razorfish)
Lineage: Eukaryota; Metazoa; Chordata; Actinopteri; Labriformes; Labridae
Source: RNAcentral
AGGAGCUGGCCCUGAGCCAGAACAGGGGAUGGCCAGUGGCUGAGGGAAUCCCUGGCGGGAGCUCGUCCUCUGAGGUCCCCCCCACCCAAGACACAAGUGCCUACAUAAUAUGUAAUAUUUCUCUACCUAUAUAUUCCUCUCUUUGUAAGCCUAUUCAUACAAAUAUUUCUUUCCCUUUAAUGUAUUUUUCCUUUUGUCCCGACAGAUUCUGAUGGUGCCAUUCGCCUCCUGGAACCCCCUCAUGACGCAGCUGUAAGUAGGCAAUACUCGAAAGCCUUUGCUGAAUGGUAGUUUAAGAAUACUGAGUCAUAUCACUCAUCUAGGACGAAGACGAUGAUGAUGAGGAGCAAACCACAUCUGCUGCGUUUACAGUGGAGGAGCCAGG